GCCUACGGGGCGCAGCAGUGAGGAAUAUUGGUCAAUGGGCGAGAGCCUGAACCAGCCAAGUCGCGUGAAGGAUGACGGCCCUACGGGUUGUAAACUUCUUUUGUCAGGGAGCAAUUGGGCCCACGCGUGGGCUUAGCGAGAGUACCUGAAGAAAAAGCAUCGGCUAACUCCGUGCCAGCAGCCGCGGUAAUACGGAGGAUGCGAGCGUUAUCCGGAUUUAUUGGGCGUAAAGCGAGUGCAGGCGGCUCAAAAA
RNAcentral lists this ribosomal RNA (253 nucleotides) under uncultured bacterium. Its description in RNAcentral is "partial 16S ribosomal RNA". It matches the Rfam family "Bacterial small subunit ribosomal RNA", at positions 337 to 586 of the family's 1533-position model. The record is from RNAcentral.